GAUGAACGCUGGCGGCGUGCCUAAUACAUGCAAGUCGAGCGAACGGACGAGAAGCUUGCUCCUCUGAUGUUAGCGGCGGACGGGUGAGUAACACGUGGAUAACCUACCUAUAAGACUGGGAUAACUUCGGGAAACCGUAGCUAAUACCGGAUAAUAUUUUGAACCGCAUGGUUCAAAAGUGAAAGACGGUCUUGCUGUCACUUAUAGAUGGAUCCGCGCUGCAUUAGCUAGUUGGUAAGGUAACGGCUUACCAAGGCAACGAUGCAUAGCCGACCUGAGAGGGUGAUCGGCCACACUGGAACUGAGACACGGUCCAGACUCCUACGGGAGGCAGCAGUAGGGAAUCUUCCGCAAUGGGCGAAAGCCUGACGGAGCAACGCCGCGUGAGUGAUGAAGGUCUUCGGAUCGUAAAACUCUGUUAUUAGGGUAGAACAUAUGUGUAAGUAACUGUGCACAUCUUGACGGUACCUAAUCAGAAAGCCACGGCUAACUACGUG
RNAcentral lists this ribosomal RNA (497 nucleotides) under uncultured bacterium. Its description in RNAcentral is "partial 16S ribosomal RNA". It matches the Rfam family "Bacterial small subunit ribosomal RNA", at positions 28 to 507 of the family's 1533-position model. The record is from RNAcentral.